Molecule: ribosomal RNA, 497 nt
Filed under: uncultured bacterium
Lineage: Bacteria
Description: partial 16S ribosomal RNA
Rfam family: Bacterial small subunit ribosomal RNA
Source: RNAcentral
GAUGAACGCUGGCGGCGUGCCUAAUACAUGCAAGUCGAGCGAACGGACGAGAAGCUUGCUUCUCUGAUGUUAGCGGCGGACGGGUGAGUAACACGUGGAUAACCUACCUUUAAGACUGGGAUAACUUCUGGAAACCGUAGCUAAUACCGGAUAAUCUUUUGAACCGCAUUGUUCAUGAGUGAAAGACGUUCUUUCUGUCACUUAUAGAUGCAUCCGCGCUGCAUUAGCUAGUUGGUAAGGUAACGGCUUACCAAGGCAACGAUGCAUAGCCGACCUGAGAGGGUGAACGGCCACACUGGAACUGAGACACGGUCCAGACUCCUACGGGAGGCAGUAGUAGGGAAUCUUACGCAAUGGGCGAAAGCCUGACGGAGCAACGCCGCGUGAGUGAUGAAGGUCUUCGGAUCGUAAAACGCUGUUAUUAGGGAAGAACAUAUGUGUAAGUAACUGUGCACAUCUUGACGGUACCUAAUCAGAAAGCCACGGCUAACUACGUG